AGGGAUAUAGCUCAGUGGUGGAUCCCAUGCUUGGCAUGCACGAGGUCCUGGGUUCUAUCCCCAGUACCUCCA
RNAcentral lists this transfer RNA (72 nucleotides) under Camelus bactrianus (Bactrian camel). It matches the Rfam family "tRNA". Rfam says of the family: Transfer RNA (tRNA) molecules are approximately 80 nucleotides in length. Their secondary structure includes four short double-helical elements and three loops (D, anti-codon, and T loops). RNAcentral also lists the same sequence under 3 other names. Lineage: Eukaryota; Metazoa; Chordata; Mammalia; Artiodactyla; Camelidae. The record is from Rfam by way of RNAcentral.